GUGUCAGCAGCCGCGGUAAGACAGAGGGUGCGAACGUUGCUCGGAAUCACUGGGCGUAAAGCGCGCGUAGGCGGACCGGAAAGUCGGUUGUGAAAUCCCUGGGCUCAACCCAGGAACUGCAUCCGAAACUCCCGGUCUCGAGUGACGGAGAGGAUAGUGGAAUUCCCGGUGUAGAGGUGAAAUUCGUAGAUAUCGGGAGGAACACCAGUGGCGAAGGCGGCUAUCUGGACGUCCACUGACGCUGAGGCGCGAAAGCGUGGGGAGCAAACAGGAUUAGAAACCCCCGUAGUCC
RNAcentral lists this ribosomal RNA (292 nucleotides) under uncultured bacterium. Its description in RNAcentral is "partial 16S ribosomal RNA". It matches the Rfam family "Bacterial small subunit ribosomal RNA", at positions 505 to 796 of the family's 1533-position model. The record is from RNAcentral.